UGGAUGUUGGUGGGUGAGGUUGUGGGCAAUGGCCUCCUGGGCCCUGGGACCACAGGCAUGUGCUGCCACGCCCAGCUUCUAGGUCUCCCUUUACAGACGGCAGGUGGGCCCUGCCUGCUAGAAGUCUGCUGUAGGCCUAUCCAGUGUCCAGAGGGGUGCUGACUUAAAGGUCCUCUUAGGAAGACACAUGAUCGGGGCCUCCCUUCUUCCUGUGACCUCAGCCCAACCUGGUGACAGCUAUAGGUCCAUUUCACAGGUCCCAGGGUCUGGUCAGAGCAUCUCUGGGAAUGGUCCAGCCCACCAGCCUGGCAGGCACCUCUCACAUCCGGCUGCUCUUCCCUUGCCCUCGGCUGGCUCUGCGCUGGGUGCCAUCCCGUGUAGCCAUUGCUUGUCCCAAGGUCCUGAGGUCUGCUGUGUGAGCAUGAGAGUGACAUGAGAGGUACCUUCACUUCUGGACCUGUUGCUUUCCUAAAUGACCCUGUAUCCCAGAGCACCUAGAGCAUCUCCCCAGUUGCUUAAGGGGACACAGAGACCACCCCAACAUGCAUGUUCAGAAAGAGCUGCCUGGUUGCUUCAAAACCCUGAGUGAGCCUUGGCCCCUCCAGACUUGGCCCCCAGCAGCCUCCUCCUGGGCCUUCCUAGCUGGCUCAGGGCCCCUACUGCUGUGAAUGCCCCAGUGAGACCACCCGCACAUUGCGUCCACGCGUCAUGGUGCUGAGGGUCUUUGCGUGGGGUGCCAUGGCCUCGUUCCUCCUGUGCUGAACAGCACCCCUGAAUAUGGUGACCACAUUUGCCCUCCUCUGGUGGCGCAUGGCUGUGGCCUGCAGCUUUGGCUCUGCAGUGAAUGGUACUGAGACAUGCUGGGCCACGCUGGACACUGACCCUCAGACAUUACGAGCACUGCCUCCCUGCCCUCUUCACCUCAAGACAGGACUCACCAAGCAGACAGGCUGGCAGGAUCGAGGCCGCUCUCCCAGGUGGCUCGCGCCUGGCUGCGGGUGCUGCUCCUGUGCGAUGACAGGUCAUGCUGAGGUGCUGCCUGGCGCCAGACCCCAGAGGACUGAAGACGCCCAUGAGGUCUCCACCCGGGGUCUGGUCUCUGAAGGCACUGUGCAAAGACACACUGCAGCAAAGACCAGGAACCCUGGAGGACUGCUAGGCCUGCUCUGAAGGUCACAUGCUCUGAAGAAAUUAAGAGGAAAAACUCGGCUGUCCUAUUUGCCCAGUCACCUCCUGUGUCCUCGCUUCUCCUCAGGUUCCAGUUGGGCUUGGGGCCUCUGCAGGACUCUAGUGGCACCCCUGGUAGCACAGCUCCCUGCUGGUGACUCUCCUUCAAGUGCCUUUGCUCCACCUGUGUCCUGCGUCCCAAGUUCAAUCCUUGGGCAGCUUCCCUCGCCCUGGUCGCCCUGGUCGCCCUGGUCGCCCUGGUCUCGGGAACCUUUGCCCCGGGGCCUGAGAAAGUUUUCUGGCUGCUUUCAAGGCUUUGGGUUUAUCCUCUCUGGGGUUCACUGAGUUUCGUGAAUUUUGGUGUCUUUUAAAAAUUGUUUUUACUUUGUGUAGAGGGUACUGGGAUUGAACCCAGAGGUGCUUAAACCACUGAGCAACAUCCCCAGCCCUUUCUCAAUUUUGAAACAGGGUAUCACUAAGUUUCUGAGGCUGGCCUUGAACUUGUAUCCUCCUGCCUCAGCCUCCUCAGCUGCAGGGAUGACAGGUGCGGCCACAUCCUUCUCCUUUUGCUUGGGAUCUAUGGCAAAUGACAGACACCCAGGUCCCUGCAGCAUGAUCACUUCUAUUUCCACUUUUUUUUCUUCUUUGUUGGUGCUGGGGAUUGAACCCAGGGCCUUGUGCAUGUGAGGCCAGCACUCUACCAACUGAGCUAUUUCCCCAGCCCUGUUUCCAAAUGCUUUUCAUCCAAUUGUUGUUCUCAAGUUCUGUGGCUUCUGACCCACUUCUAGAGCACUGGCUCAAUGGAGUGUGAUCAGUUUGUCUGCUGUGUUUUCUGGCCUUGCAACGUCUGGGUCGAGCUGCAGCUGUCCUGUUUUCCCUGUGGAACUGAGAUUCUGGCUGCGUCUGGCACCCUGGAGGCCCUGCGUGCAGCCUGGAGACGUGGUCUUUGGCAGGCAGCUCCACUCCAUGGAGUCCUGCUGUGGUUCUUCCUGGGCCCACCUGCCCGGGCCCUGGGUGUUUUGCUGUGGUGGCUCCUGGCAUCGUUCUGACUAGCCUUCACCCUGGCCGCAAUCAGUCUUCCAGGCCAGAGGCUCAGGUCUUGACCUCCCCGUGUCUUCCCACUCCUGUGCCUGGGUCCUGCUUGGGGCCAGAGUAGAUAGAAGGGGAAGAUGGGGAGCGUGGCGGAGCUCUGCUCCUCGGGCCCUGUGCCCCACUUUCCCACUCCUGGUCCCAGCACUUCACCCCUCCACUGCUGCUCCUGGCUUUAAUGUCUGGCCCAGUCUUCCUAUCUGCUGGGCUCCCCUGCCAUCUCCACAGGCCCCGCAGCUGCAGUGGCACUGUCCCAAGGCCUACUCCCGCCUUGUGUUCCGGGUCCCUGAACAGCACGGCCCCAGAGGCCAGGCAACUGCUGGGAGGGCAGCAUUCACCGGUCCUAGUGUCCUGAAAGUGGGGGCUGCCCCAUAGUAAGCACAGGACCCCUGGGCAGCACGACGGACUGUCCUAUUUCCCUGGUGGAACUGUACCAACAUGAACCUUGCACCUUCCAGGAACCCUGUUCCAGAGGAGCCCAGAGUGUGAUGUGUGCCCAGGCUCCAGUGAAGGACAGCACGUGGCAGGUGGGCAGCACCAGCACCUUCAGGAAGGCUGACCUGCUCAACGGGCUGCAGACCAGUGCCGGCCUUCCCCAGGAUGAGGGCUGCCUGCAGAAGCCACAGCAGCACAGCUGCCACCCCAGGGCCAGUGAAGCCAGAUUUAAAGUUAGGUAGUCAGUGUAGUUAGAUAAAUCGGGUCUAAUAUCUAGUGAAAUCUAAAAUGGAGACCAUGCGGAGAAUGACUCAGGGAAAACACAGGACAACUCAUGGAAGUCCCAAAAAGGCCCUAGGCCAAAGUCCACCUCAAAGAAAUGUUAAUGAACAGCCCCCAGCAAAAAGGUGCUGACUCAGAAGUCCUUCCUGACCAGAUUACUUCUCUGCCCCACCUGUGUCCCACCCCUCGGGCCUUCCAACCUACAUUCCAUCACCAAAACUAUAAAAAGGGGAAACAACCUCACUUCCACGGAUUCCACCUCUUGGGUCCCCUUCUUCCUCCGGGAGAAGUCUUUUCUGCUGUCCUUUAAUAAACUUCUAAUUUCUACUCUGA
RNAcentral lists this long non-coding RNA (3306 nucleotides) under Marmota monax (woodchuck). Lineage: Eukaryota; Metazoa; Chordata; Mammalia; Rodentia; Sciuridae. The record is from RNAcentral.